This 261-nucleotide long non-coding RNA is filed under the name Elaeis guineensis (African oil palm). RNAcentral describes it as "long non-coding RNA (EGUI_LNC010123)". Lineage: Eukaryota; Viridiplantae; Streptophyta; Magnoliopsida; Arecales; Arecaceae. The record is from RNAcentral.
GAUUGGCUCUGGAAGAUGAGGACCCUUGCCAAUAAGAGGGAUCCAAACAAAUUCUACUAGUUCCACAAAGAUAUGGGCAUGACACCAAGGAAUGCCACUAUGUUGCUAACCAAAGAAAAAAAAUAGGCAGGAUGGAUAAAUCCUAGAUAAGUAAGACCACAAUAGACCACUCAUCGAGUGAUCACUUCCAUCCAUGAAGGAGCUGUAACAAGAGAAAGCUCGUGAUUAGAAGAGACCUUAGUGGGAGGAUCAAUCUCCAGA